CAGUCUAACCCCCUGCCAACAUGCAGGAUUUGUGGUGUCUAAACCUUCCAAGACAGAUGGCGAUCCAGCCUUCUUUUGAAAACCUCCAAUGAAGAAACCUCCAUAUCCUC
Non-coding RNA from Chelonoidis abingdonii (Abingdon island giant tortoise), 110 nucleotides. NCBI's taxonomy places the organism in Eukaryota, Metazoa, Chordata, Testudines, Testudinidae. The record is from RefSeq and is a predicted model, not a curated record.